AACGAACGCUGGCGGCAUGCCUAACACAUGCAAGUCGAACGAAGGCUUCGGCCUUAGUGGCGCACGGGUGCGUAACGCGUGGGAAUCUGCCCUUUGGUUCGGAAUAACAGCUGGAAACGGCUGCUAAUACCGGAUGAUGACGAAAGUCCAAAGAUUUAUCGCCAGAGGAUGAGCCCGCGUUGGAUUAGGUAGUUGGUGGGGUAAAGGCCUACCAAGCCGACGAUCCAUAGCUGGUCUGAGAGGAUGAUCAGCCACACUGGGACUGAGACACGGCCCAGACUCCUACGGGAGGCGGCAGUGGCGAAUAGAGGAAAACGGGCGCAAGCCUGAUCCAGCAAGGCCGCGUGAGUGAUGAAGGCCGUAGGGUUGUAAAGCUCUUUUAACCGGGAAGAUAAUGACUGUACCGGGAGAAUAAGCCCCGGCUAACUCCGUG
Molecule: ribosomal RNA, 433 nt
Filed under: uncultured bacterium
Lineage: Bacteria
Description: partial 16S ribosomal RNA
Rfam family: Bacterial small subunit ribosomal RNA
Source: RNAcentral